UGUGUUCCUGAACGCCUCAUUAGAAUCAUGUCUCAACUUGAUUUCCAAUGUUUGACGCAUUGACGACAAGACUGCGAGGACACUGGGAAGAAACUGACGAUGAAUAGAACGCAUGGCGAACCAGAGGAGGGGGCAAGUCUGGGGGCGACAGGAUAUGAUGCAGACACAGACGACACACAUGAUGAGAAGGACAUUUUGGAUGGGGAACCAGCUGCAUCUCAAGAAGCUGCGUCUCCACAACCGUCAGACGAGCUGGGAGUAGCUGAUGAUGAAACAGAACCAGCUGCAUCUCAAGAAGCUGCAUCUCCACAACCGUCAGACGAGCUGGGAGGGAUGAUGAUGAAAC
Molecule: long non-coding RNA, 346 nt
Filed under: Cottoperca gobio
Lineage: Eukaryota; Metazoa; Chordata; Actinopteri; Perciformes; Bovichtidae
Description: lncRNA (ENSCGOG00000003480.1)
Source: RNAcentral